RNAcentral lists this ribosomal RNA (253 nucleotides) under uncultured bacterium. RNAcentral's name for it is "partial 16S ribosomal RNA". It matches the Rfam family "Bacterial small subunit ribosomal RNA", at positions 524 to 776 of the family's 1533-position model. The record is from RNAcentral.
UACAGAGGUCUCAAGCGUUGUUCGGAUUCAUUGGGCGUAAAGGGUGCGUAGGUGGCGCUGUAAGUCGGGUGUGAAAUUUCGGAGCUUAACUCCGAAACUGCAUUCGGUACUGCGGUGCUUGAGGACUGGAGAGGAGACUGGAAUUCAUGGUGUAGCAGUGAAAUGCGUAGAGAUCAUGAGGAAGACCAGUGGCGAAGGCGGGUCUCUGGACAGUUCCUGACACUGAGGCACGAAGGCCAGGGGAGCAAACGGG